This 1236-nucleotide ribosomal RNA is filed under the name uncultured bacterium. Its description in RNAcentral is "bacterial SSU rRNA". It matches the Rfam family "Bacterial small subunit ribosomal RNA", at positions 250 to 1533 of the family's 1533-position model. The record is from RNAcentral.
UCGUAGGUUAAGGGCCUAACAAGCGCGAUUCGUAGCUGUCUAGGAGAUACGCAAUUCGACUGAGACUGCGGACUCUACGAAGCAGCAGUGGGAUAUGACAUGGGGCACCUGAUCCAGCAUGCGCGUGUGUGAGAGCUUUCCGGGUGUAAAGCACUUUCAGCGAGAGUGCUCUGAAGUUAAUACUUCAGGGAUUGACGUUACUCGCAGAAGAAGCCACCGGGCUAACUCCGUGCCAGCAGCGCGGUAAUACGGAGGGGUGCAAGCGUUAAUCGGAAUUACUGGGCGUAAAGCGCGCGUAGGUGGUUAGGUAAGCGAGAUGUGAAAGCCCCGGGCUUAACCUGGGAACGGCAUUUCGAACUGUCUGACUAGAGUGUGGUAGAGGGUAGUGGAAUUUCCUGUGUAGCGGUGAAAUGCGUAGAUAUAGGAAGGAACACCAGUGGCGAAGGCGGCUACCUGGACCAACACUGACACUGAGGUGCGAAAGCGUGGGGAGCAAACAGGAUUAGAUACCCUGGUAGUCCACGCCGUAAACGAUGUCAACUAGCCGUUGGGACUCUUGAAGUCUUAGUGGCGCAGCUAACGCACUAAGUUGACCGCCUGGGGAGUACGGCCGCAGGGUUAAAACUCAAAUGAAUUGACGGGGGCCCGCACAAGCGGUGGAGCAUGUGGUUUAAUUCGACGCAACGCGAAGAACCUUACCUGGCCUUGACAUCCAGAGAACUUUCCAGAGAUGGAUUGGUGCCUUCGGGAACUCUGAGACAGGUGCUGCAUGGCCGUCGUCAGCUCGUGUCGUGAGAUGUUGGGUUAAGUCCCGUAACGAGCGCAACCCCUAUCCCUGGUUGCUAGCAGGUAAUGCUGAGAACUCCAGGGAGACUGCCGGUGACAAACCGGAGGAAGGUGGGGAUGACGUCAGGUCAUCAUGGCCCUUACGGCCAGGGCUACACACGUGCUACAAUGGCGCGUACAGAGGGCUGCCAACUCGCGAGAGUGCGCCAAUCCCUUAAAACGCGUCGUAGUCCGGAUCGGAGUCUGCAACUCGACUCCGUGAAGUCGGAAUCGCUAGUAAUCGCGAAUCAGAAUGUCGCGGUGAAUACGUUCCCGGGCCUUGUACACACCGCCCGUCACACCAUGGGAGUGGAUUGCACCAGAAGUAGUUAGUCUAACCUUCGGGAGGACGAUUACCACGGUGUGGUUCAUGACUGGGGUGAAGUCGUAACAAGGUAACCAAUCAGCUCC